Molecule: non-coding RNA, 54 nt
Organism: Gasterosteus aculeatus (three-spined stickleback)
Lineage: Eukaryota; Metazoa; Chordata; Actinopteri; Perciformes; Gasterosteidae
Source: Rfam
UGGUUGAAAGCAUGUAAGUCGCUUUGGAUAAAAGCGUCAGCUAAAUGACAUUUA